Molecule: ribosomal RNA, 482 nt
Filed under: uncultured soil bacterium
Lineage: Bacteria
Description: bacterial SSU rRNA
Rfam family: Bacterial small subunit ribosomal RNA
Source: RNAcentral
AGAUUGAACGCUGGCGGCAGGCCUAACACAUGCAAGUCGAGCGGUAGAGAGGUGCUUGCACCUCUUGAGAGCGGCGGACGGGUGAGUAAUGCCUAGGAAUCUGCCUAGUGGUGGGGGAUAACGUUCGGAAACGGACGCUAAUACCGCAUACGUCCUACGGGAGAAAGCGGGGGACCUUCGGGCCUCGCGCCAUUAGAUGAGCCUAGGUCGGAUUAGCUAGUUGGUGAGGUAAUGGCUCACCAAGGCGACGAUCCGUAACUGGUCUGAGAGGAUGAUCAGUCACACUGGAACUGAGACACGGUCCAGACUCCGUACGGGAGGCAGCAGGUAGGGGAAUAGUUGGACAAUGGGACGAAAGCCUGAUCCAGCCAUGCCGCGUGUGUGAAGGAAGGUCUUCGGAUUAGUAAAGCUACUUUUAAGGUUGGGAGGUAAGGUUUAGUAAACUUUAAUACGUUGCUAAUUUGACGUUACGACAGGAUAAG